CGGCUGGUCCGGUUGGGCAAAGAGAGGCGGGUGGGGGGUCAAGGCUUGAGAAGAGCCACAUCCUCCGACAAGGCCACGCUCCCAACUCCUCUCCCAGAGACACUCGUGUGACCUACCGGAAUGCAGUGACAGCGCAGACCGGUGUAUCCCGGGGGACAGGUGCAGCGGAAGCCACCCACUAGGUCUACGCAGGGCACGCUCCGGAGGUCACAGAGGCGGCCGCUCCACCCCGGAGGGCAAAGGCAGUAGAAGGACGCCCCGGUCCGGGCACAGCGACCCCCGUUCUGACAGGGCGCACGGCUGCACCAGUCUACCAGCGUCUGCGGGGGAAACGGUCAGCAUCAGUGCUGGAGGACCCCCGAGGAGUCGCACCCCGGCUUCUCCAGGGCCCCAGGGCAGUCCCCUACCCCGGAGCAGCCCUCCAAAUUCCUCUCCCCGCCCCCCCCCACCCUGUGACCCUGCCCACCUGGCACUGCGCGCCAGUGAAGCCCUCUGGGCAGGUGCAGCGGUAGCCAGGGUGGGCAGCGGUGCAGACUCCCCCGUGCAGGCAGGGCCGAGAGAGGCAGGGGUCGGCCUCGUGCUGGCAGUGCGCGCCCGUGUAGCCAGGGCGGCACUGGCAGCUGAACGAGUUCACACCGUCCACGCAGGUCCCGCCGUGGAAGCAGGAGCUGGAGGGGAAGCGAGGAAGUGAGGGGUGGUUCAGGCUCCACACCCAUGCAGGCCCCGCCUUCUGGCCCAGCCUCCCGUCAAGAGGGCCCUACCCCUACCUUUAGGGACCAGUGUCCCCAAGGUGACCUCCAAACAAAUGCCCUGACCCUUCCCGGACACUCCUCCAUCACGGAUCAGAGUUGUGAGGUGGAGUAAGAGUGAGAGUCCCCACUUCCUCUCACGUUCCACACCCCAUCCAUUACCAAGGUCCCUGAGCUCCCAGGAGCAGCCCCACACACCUGGGGCUGCAGUCGGGCAGGUCCUGCUCACAGUGGAAGCCUCCAUAACCAGGUGGGCAGGUGCAGGUAAAGGAGGCCACGUGGUCCGUGCAGGUGCCCGGGCCACAGGGGCUGCUCAGGCACUCAUCCACAUCUCGGGCACAGCGAGGACCAGCAAAGCCAGGGAGGCAGGAGCACGAAAAGGAGCCCACGCCAUCCUGACAGGAGCCACCAUUCAGGCAGGGGUCUAAGGUCCGAAGGGAGAAGGCCUGGUCAUACACCUGGCCCCCCAUCAGCCCAACCUGACCCAGCCAUGCCUUUCAUAGAAGGGAAUCGGGAGGAAACCAGCCUUAACAGGCAGGGGCAUAUUUGGUCAGCGGAAUCCAGUUCUGUCCCCUCUGUGGCCUUAUCCCCUCCCUUAGCUGGAAACCUCACCUAUGUGCAAGGAGGGUGGAGACAGAGGAGCCAAAAGGUCCCCUGAGCUGCCAAGCCCAUGCGGUUAAGUUAUGUCUAUUUAUUCCUGGGCACAGCACAGAAGGCCUCCUCCAGACCCAGGCUGGCCAGAAUAGUGGCCAUGGGCCACAUGGGGCUCUUAAGCCCUUGACAUGUGGCUAGUCCAAAAGGGGAUGUGCUGAAGUAUAAAAUAAACACUAGAUUUCUGAUUUUGAAGACUUAGUGUGGAAAGAAAAUGAAUGUAAAAUAUCUCAAAUAAUUUUAUAUUG
Long non-coding RNA from Canis lupus familiaris (dog), 1648 nucleotides. RefSeq lists it as uncharacterized. NCBI's taxonomy places the organism in Eukaryota, Metazoa, Chordata, Mammalia, Carnivora, Canidae. The record is from RefSeq and is a predicted model, not a curated record. The transcript has 4 exons.